RNAcentral lists this ribosomal RNA (168 nucleotides) under uncultured Psychrobacter sp. RNAcentral describes it as "partial 16S ribosomal RNA". It matches the Rfam family "Bacterial small subunit ribosomal RNA", at positions 354 to 514 of the family's 1533-position model. Lineage: Bacteria; Pseudomonadati; Pseudomonadota; Gammaproteobacteria; Moraxellales; Moraxellaceae. The record is from RNAcentral.
GUGGGGAAUAUUGGACAAUGGGGGAAACCCUGAUCCAGCCAUGCCGCGUGUGUGAAGAAGGCCUUUUGGUUGUAAAGCACUUUAAGCAGUGAAGAAGACUCUUCGGUUAAUACCCGGAGACGAUGACAUUAGCUGCAGAAUAAGCACCGGCUAACUCUGUGCCAGCAG